RNAcentral lists this ribosomal RNA (673 nucleotides) under Lycogala sp. Its description in RNAcentral is "partial small subunit ribosomal RNA". It matches the Rfam family "Eukaryotic small subunit ribosomal RNA", at positions 14 to 526 of the family's 1831-position model. The record is from RNAcentral. Lineage: Eukaryota; Evosea; Eumycetozoa; Liceales; Enteridiidae.
CUCCAGAAUUCAUAUGCUUGUCCCAAAGAUUAAGCCAUGCAUGCCAAGAGUCCAGUGGCCGGUCCGGGCGUUCUGCGCUCGGCCGGCCCAGGAAUCAGCGAACGGCUCCGUAUAUCUGUUGUUACCUGUCGCGGUACGUCCGGUGUGGAUAUAGCACGGAAAAGCUGUGUGUAAAACAGCCAAGCGAGGGCCAAGCCCGCGGGGUAGCCCCCGCGGGCUAUGUGGGUGGGGGGCUACGGCCACGAGCUUACCUCCCUCCCCGGCCCGAGUAUAAGCCUCAAGUACCACGGAGACCCGUCCGCAGUUCCGGGGAGACCCGGCUGGUCCGGCGGUUUGGUGAGAAACGGGGGCCUCUGCCUGUGACCGAGCCGAUGCAGACCGCCCCCCAAAUAGGGAAGGCGUCAGGGGCGAGGGCACGCUGAUAGAGACCAACCACAAGCGCGCGAUGGGCUUCAGACCUAUCAGCUAGAUGGUAGGGUAUUGGCCUACCAUGGCUACGACGGGUACAGAGGAUUAGGGUUUGAUCCUGGAGAGGUAGCCUGAGAGAUCGCUCCCACUUCUAAGGAAGGCAGCAGGCGCGUAACGUUCCCAAUGCCCUGCCGGGUGAGGACGUGACGGGACAUAAUAAUGCCCCUUCAAGUGUGAUGUGGGUAGCUCGCAAUGGGGCGGGCCC